GACGAACGCUGGCGGCGUGCUUAACACAUGCAAGUCGAACGGAAAGGCCCUGCUUUUGUGGGGUGCUCGAGUGGCGAACGGGUGAGUAACACGUGAGUAACCUGCCCUUGACUUUGGGAUAACUUCAGGAAACUGGGGCUAAUACCGGAUAGGAGCUCCUGCUGCAUGGUGGGGGUUGGAAAGUUUCGGCGGUUGGGGAUGGACUCGCGGCUUAUCAGCUUGUUGGUGGGGUAGUGGCUUACCAAGGCUUUGACGGGUAGCCGGCCUGAGAGGGUGACCGGCCACAUUGGGACUGAGAUGCGGCCCAGACUCCUACGGGAGGCAGCAGGGGAGAAUAUUGCACAAUGGGCGGGAGCCUGAUGCAGCAACGCCGCGUGCGAGAUGACGGCCUUCGGGGUGUAAACCGCUUUCGCCUGUGACGAAGCGUGAGUGGCGGUAAUGGGUAAAGAAGCACCGGCUAACUACG
Molecule: ribosomal RNA, 466 nt
Filed under: uncultured bacterium
Lineage: Bacteria
Description: partial 16S ribosomal RNA
Rfam family: Bacterial small subunit ribosomal RNA
Source: RNAcentral